This 733-nucleotide non-coding RNA is filed under the name Salmo salar (Atlantic salmon). RNAcentral describes it as "Eukaryotic small subunit ribosomal RNA". It matches the Rfam family "Eukaryotic small subunit ribosomal RNA", at positions 1 to 899 of the family's 1831-position model. The record is from Rfam by way of RNAcentral. Lineage: Eukaryota; Metazoa; Chordata; Actinopteri; Salmoniformes; Salmonidae.
UACCUGAGUGAUCCUGCCAGUCUUGUCUCAAAGAUUAAGCCAUGCGAUUCUUAACACACACGACCGGUACAGUAAAACUGCUCAUGGCUCAUUAAAUUAGUUAUGGUUCCUUUAAUUGCUCCAACGUUAUUUGGAUGACUGCAGCAGGUACUUGCGGGCACCACAGGCGCAUUUGGUGACUAUAACCUCGACAGGUGAUGCGCUGACGUCUACUUCCAAUAUCAGCCCUAUCAACUUUAUGUGCAUGCCAUGGUGAACACAGGUAACGGAAUCAGAGUUGGAUUCCGGGAGGGAGCUACCACAUCCAAGGAAGGCACCAGGCACGCAAAUUACCCACUGCUGACUCUGGGAGAUAGUGGUGAAAAAUAACAAUACAGGACUCUUUUGAGGCCCUUCAAUUCGAAUGAGUACGCUUUAAAUCCUUUCAUGAGGAUCCAUUGCUGAUGUUUAGAAGUUGCAUUUUACAGUGGUCAAACUUCUGAAAGUGUAAUUAAUUAUGUUUUAACCUUAAACUCUGCCUGCCUGUUGUGUAUUGUCCAUCGGUGUGACAUAAUGUCCUAUGAGGUGACGCCAAUAAAUAAAGUGUUAUCUUGAACAAAAUACAAAAAAAAAAUGUUAAGCAUGUGGCAGGUAACAUCAUCAUAAUACACAAGUAAACAAAUAGCUUUUUAUCUCGUUUUUUGUCAAAUUACUUUAUCUUCAUUAUACAACAAAUUCCAGAAUAUGAUUACUG